Molecule: long non-coding RNA, 1337 nt
Organism: Cyprinus carpio (common carp)
Lineage: Eukaryota; Metazoa; Chordata; Actinopteri; Cypriniformes; Cyprinidae
Source: Ensembl
GCAUCAUGGGUCAAGGAAGCGUCUCUGUCUGUCUCUCUCUCUGCUGUAUGUAGAGGCUCCGCACUCAUCUGCAGUAUUCAUCAUUUCAAACAAACACGUUAGAUCUUAGUUUAUGGACUGCAAUUGAAUCUUUAAUGCCGUGUUAAUUAGAUUUUGUUCGAAUUGAAUCGAAACAAAACUCUGCAGAACAUGUGAAUCAUAUGAAUCUUUACAUGGAAGAAUCACAUGAAUCUUUACUUUUGAGUCAUUGAGAUAUUUUCCUCUAUUGUUACAUUGUUGUCAUGAUUUUUAAUCUCAUUCCCUUCAAAUUCUCAGAUUCUUUUGAUUUUGUGUCGAACACACAGAUGCUGAUUUGCUUGUAUUGAAUCAUUCCACAUACUGCAGAUGUGUGUGUGUGUUCAGUGUCUAUGUGUGUUUAUCAGUAAACAGGAAUCAUGUUCCUGCAGCGCAGUCCUUAACCAAUGGUGCCACGUCACAUCUGAACGGAGGAAGUGCUAAUAUGUGUCCCAUUUCAGAUGUUUUCAUACUGUAAACACUUCAUGUUCGUUUGCGGUCAUUUAUCAGAUGAACUCAACGACAGUCGUAAGGUCACAGCGAUAGUGUUGCAGAUUACAGUGUUUGUUUGUUUGUUUCAAACGGCACCAAAUCCUUCAGAAAUCAUUCUAAUAUGCUGAUUUGCUGCUCAAGAAACAUUUCUGAUUAUUAUCAAUGUUGAAAACAGUUGUGCUGCUUAAUAUUUCUGUGGAAACAGUGAUACAUUUUAUUUUCAGGAUUAUUUGAUGAAUAUAAAGUUUAAAAGAACACUGAUUUGAGAUAGAACUCUUUUGCAACAUUAUAAAUGUCUUUCCUGCCAGUUUUUAUUAAUUUAAUGCAUCCUUGCUGAAUUAAAGUAUUAAAAUACUUUCUAAAAAAAAAACACCAAACUUUUGAACAAUAGUGUAAAUACUGCAUACUACUAAAAUAGUAGUAUGGCUAUAUGAUAUUCAGAACACAACCAGAAACCAGAAAUGUAUGUUUAAAGGAUUACUUCACCUAAAAUUAACAUUUUAUCAUCAUUUACUCGCCCUCAUGUGAUUCCAAACCUGACUUUCUUUCUUCUGCGGAACACAAAAGAACAUACUUCGUAAUUACGUUCAAUCACCGGACCCCAUUGACUUUCACUGUAUGGACACGCUUCAAAACAUCGUAAAUUUUGGGUGAACUAUCCCUUUAAGGCCUUCAUGACUAAUCAAAUACUUUAUAAAAAGGUGGUCAGGCUACAUGCAUGAGAUCAUGUGGUUUACUUGUCAAAUGUAGCUCUGUGAUAACAUCACCUUGUAAACGAAAAAUCUACAACU